Molecule: ribosomal RNA, 650 nt
Filed under: uncultured Bacillaceae bacterium
Lineage: Bacteria; Bacillati; Bacillota; Bacilli; Caryophanales; Bacillaceae
Description: bacterial SSU rRNA
Rfam family: Bacterial small subunit ribosomal RNA
Source: RNAcentral
UGAAUGAAAGCUUGCUUUCAUUCGGUUAGCAGCGGACGGGUGAGUAACACGUGGGCAACCUGCCCGUAAGACCGGGAUAACUUCGGGAAACCGGAGCUAAUACCGGAUAACACCGAAGAUCGCAUGAUCUUUGGUUGAAAGGCGGCUUUGGCUGUCACUUACGGAUGGGCCCGCGGCGCAUUAGCUAGUUGGUGAGGUAACGGCUCACCAAGGCGACGAUGCGUAGCCGACCUGAGAGGGUGAUCGGCCACACUGGGACUGAGACACGGCCCAGGCUUCUACGGGAGGCAGCAGUAGGGAAUCUUCCGCAAUGGACGAAAGUCUGACGGAGCAACGCCGCGUGAGCGAAGAAGGUCUUCGGAUUGUAAAGCUCUGUUGUUAGGGAAGAACAAGUACCGCUCGAAGAGGGCGGUACCGUGACGGUACCUAACGAGAAAGCCACGGCUAACUACGUGCCAGCAGCCGCGGUAAUACGUAGGUGGCAAGCGUUGUCCGGAAUUAUUGGGCGUAAAGCGCGCGCAGGCGGUUCCUUAAGUCUGAUGUGAAAGCCCACGGCUCAACCGUGGAGGGUCAUUGGAAACUGGGGGACUUGAGUGCAGAAGAGGAGAGCGGAAUUCCACGUGUAGCGGUGAAAUGCGUAGAGAUGUGGA